This 606-nucleotide ribosomal RNA is filed under the name bacterium T-1-0-12A. RNAcentral's name for it is "bacterial SSU rRNA". It matches the Rfam family "Bacterial small subunit ribosomal RNA", at positions 372 to 967 of the family's 1533-position model. The record is from RNAcentral.
AAGGGGAAACCCUGAUCCAGCCAUGCCGCGUGUGUGAAGAAGGCCUUAUGGUUGUAAAGCACUUGUAAGCGAGGAGGAGAGGUACCUUAGUUAAUACCUAAGAGUAUCGGACGUUACUCGCAGAAUAAGCACCGGCUAACUCUGUGCCAGCAGCCGCGGUAAUACAGAGGGUGCAAGCGUUAAUCGGAUUUACUGGGCGUAAAGCGUGCGUAGGCGGCUAAUUAAGUCGGAUGUGAAAUCCCCGAGCUCAACUUGGGAAUUGCAUUCGAUACUGGUUAGCUAGAGUAUGGGAGAGGAUGGUAGAAUUCCAGGUGUAGCGGUGAAAUGCGUAGAGAUCUGGAGGAAUACCGAUGGCGAAGGCAGCCAUCUGGCCUAAUACUGACGCUGAGGUACGAAAGCAUGGGGAGCAAACAGGAUUAGAUACCCUGGUAGUCCAUGCCGUAAACGAUGUCUACUAGCCGUUGGGGCCUUUGAGGCUUUAGUGGCGCAGCUAACGCGAUAAGUAGACCGCCUGGGGAGUACGGUCGCAAGACUAAAACUCAAAUGAAUUGACGGGGGCCCGCACAAGCGGUGGAGCAUGUGGUUNAAUUCGAUGCAACGCGAAGA